GUAGGUGGCAAGCGUUGUCCGGAAUUAUUGGGCGUAAAGCGCGCGCGGGCGGUUCUUUAAGUCUGAUGUGAAAGCCCACGGCUCAACCGUGGAGGGUCAUUGGAAACUGGAGAACUUGAGUACAGAAGAGGAAAGCGGAAUUCCACGUGUAGCGGUGAAAUGCGUAGAGAUGUGGAGGAACACCAGUGGCGAAGGCGGCUUUCUGGUCUGUAACUGACGCUGAGGCGCGAAAGCGUGGGGAGCAAACAGGGAUUAGAUACCCUGGUAGUCCACGCCGUAAACGAUGAGUGCUAAGUGUUAGGGGGUUUCCGCCCCCUUAGUGCUGCAGCUAACGCAUUAAGCACUCCGCCUGGGGAGUACGACCGCAAGGUUG
Molecule: ribosomal RNA, 373 nt
Filed under: uncultured organism
Description: partial 16S ribosomal RNA
Rfam family: Bacterial small subunit ribosomal RNA
Source: RNAcentral